Molecule: long non-coding RNA, 879 nt
Filed under: Carica papaya (papaya)
Lineage: Eukaryota; Viridiplantae; Streptophyta; Magnoliopsida; Brassicales; Caricaceae
Description: long non-coding RNA (CPAP_LNC008749)
Source: RNAcentral
GCUGUCGCAUAAAGUAUAUAAAGUAAUUUUAAAAAAUUAAAAAAAAAAAUUGGGUGUCUAUUUAUUUUUUAAAAAAUAUUGGGUCCGCCAAAAUAAAUUAAAUAAUUUAUAAUUAAAAUUAUGAUUUAUAUAAUUAAAAUUUAAAUUAUGAUUUUUUAUAUUGCGAUUUAAAAAAUUAUCAUCUUCUUGGUCAAUGUAGAGAGAGAAUUUCUGACAUUUGACUGCGCAUCUGUCCGAAUCUCAAUACCCUAAUCUUUCACGGGAUGUAAUUUUCUCAGGUUUUCGUGCCUUUCGAAUCUGCCACUUUUGGAUUUAAUCGAAGAAAAAGAAUUUCAAUUCGGGGAGUUUUCGUGAAUGCUUUUCACACGAAAUCUGAAAUUCGUCCCCGAGACGGAAUCGUCUGUUUCUGAAAGUAAAUCCAAAAGUCGGAAGAAUUUAGAGAGAAAACCAGAAAGAAGAUAAGGUUGGGUUGAUGAAAGAGAGAGAGAGAGAACCUUCAGAGCUGUAAAUCGCAUCAUCACAAGGCCGGAAGAGGGAAGAAGAAUUGAGGGAGACGAUGGGAGGAGAGAAGACGAGCAGCAAUUUUUUUGAAUUCAGAUUGAAAACUAUUUGAUGUUAAAAACAGAUGUCUUCAUGAUCCCCAUCAGGUUUUCUUAUCCACAUAUUUCUCUUGCCGCUUCAGAAGUCUUCUUCCAAACUCUCAUCGCUUCGCCGCCUAUUGCUUCUUAAAACCCUAGACAUUCACAGUCUUAACCCACGCUCUAUAUAUAAACUGCUAUCUAGGGUUUUUCUCGAGCCAACUCUUUAUCUCUCUAGUCAUUGAAUUGACCCUUUUGUCCUUUGCUAAUAUUUCACAAUUAGUAUAAAACUAUAACCAAC